Nomascus leucogenys (northern white-cheeked gibbon) is the source of this 2726-nucleotide long non-coding RNA. RefSeq lists it as uncharacterized. The transcript is spliced from 6 exons. The record is from RefSeq and is a predicted model, not a curated record. NCBI's taxonomy places the organism in Eukaryota, Metazoa, Chordata, Mammalia, Primates, Hylobatidae.
AGCUUCAGGACCUAAGUAGUGCCUGGGGAUCUGAAAGAGACGACUGACUGAGGUGGUUGAUGGGAUUCUUACAGCAACAAAGCACCAUCUUGGAAGCAGAGAGCCACCCUCACCAGAACUGAAUGCAGGCACCAUGACUUUGAACUUCCCAGCCUCCAGAACUGUGAGAAAUAAAUUUCUAUUCUUUAUAACUUACCCAGUCUCAGGUAUUUUGUUACAGCAACACCAGUGGACUAAGUUACAGUCUCAGGAAGAAAGCAUGCAUUCCUCUUGUCUCCCAAUUAGUGCUGCCAGGACCUCCAGAACUCCAGAUGGAUUCGCCUGGCUGACACUUGAAAGAUUUUUGCUCUAACUUAAUAGAAAGGACAGACUGGCAAAGCCAUAGUUAAAUCAGUUGGAGGAGCCACAAAUCAAAUCAUCUUUACAGAAAGAUUCUUGGAAUCUGCAACUCUAAGCAAAAUGACAUGUGAUGACCUUGGCUAUAUGUUGUUGGUAAGACCUCAUUGGUAAGAAUUUAAUAGAAUUAGCCUUUAUGCAAGAUAUUCAUCUGUUCGUCUGUUGCUUUGCUUAUUUGUUCAACCAACCAACAAUUACCAGGCCAUGCAGGGUUCUAUGAACUGAGAACACAACAGCUGAUAAGCUAGACCAGGGCCCUGCUGUUGAAGCACUUAUAUCCCACUGGGAGACAGAAAACAAGCAGUGGCAUAUAAAGACAUAAUAUAUCAGCUGCAAAGUUCAGGGGGAAAUAAAGCAAGGGAGGGUGGAUACUAUCUCAGACACUGUUCAGGGAGAUCACAUAUUAUCUUGUGUUCAUUAGCACUUAGGCCAGCAGUAUGAGCUAAAACGUGGCAAAUAACAUUUUUCCAAGAGUCAGAAAGAAAGAAAGCACUGUAGAUGACUGGAGUUGGUUUCUUUAAAAAGUAAAUAUGAAAAUUUCCUUUCUGGGCUACAGAGGUGUGGCAGCUUUUAAGAACCUUUUCUCUAGCUUCCCUCAGAGAUCACUUAAAGAAGCUAAGUGAGGUAUCUAGUCUUUGUCAUUCCUGUUAAAGAUUUCAUCACUGAAGGACCCCUGACACAUCUUUCAAAAGUGAUCCAAUCAUAAUGCCCUGUAGGAGGGCAGUGCUGCCAAAUGGGGAGAGCAUCAGUCUAGCCACCCAGAGAUUCCAGAUUGAUGCCAGAUACUUAUUUUUAUCCUUAUAUGAUGUGUCUAGUCCACCUGAAGUCUCAGUAUCAGUCUCAAAUAGAUGAGAUCAGGGAGUUAAAUGCUGUGCUUUGUGUGAACUUCAAUACAGGGAACACAAAACCACUUCUGGGGUUGUAAUGCAGCUGAUUUCAUGCAUGCCUGCUUCAUAUAUGUCUGCUUAAUAAGUAAGAUCAAAUCAAAUCAAAUUAUUUGUAACAGCACUGACUUCCUUGUCCUUGAUAGGCUUCUCUUUGAAGCAAACAAAGUGGAAGAAAUGGUGAUAUAAUUUCUGUUAUAAUCUGUCUUGUACUAUAUUUGGUGAAAGUGAACUGCUUUUUAUAAAAUAAAUGGCUAGGGCUGGGGAGUUUUAAAAUAACUCUUAAAGGUAAAGGUUUUGAGUCCCUAGAAUGAAAUGCUCAAUAAAGCAAUUACUCCCCUUGGUGGCUUUCCAGAGUCCUGUACCUUUGGGAUUCACUUUCCCUUCUCUGUGUUUGCACAGCAGUCCCUGGAGGACUCUUGCUGAGGACACUUAGUGAUGAGACAUUACUUGUUGAGGCUCACACUCCCUUCUGGGAGACGCACUAUACCAGGAUUCCAACUCCAUCUCAUCCCACACACGGAGACUUCACCAUCCUGGCAACCUUACUGUGCUACCUUUGACCACAAAACAGGCAAAAUCUUCAAAUUUCCUAAGCCUCACUUUCAAUGUAUGUAUUACAAGGACAAUGAUAGCACAUACGUCAUAAGAGUGUUGCAAGGAUCAAAUGAGUGCUCACCAUGGCGCCCAGCAAGAAGAUUAUCACAGGGACACCUGGGAAAAUGUCCCUAGGGCCAGUACCCUGAGAUUCUUCUCUAUAAACAGAGAACUUGGACAUUAUCUGGGUUGCCGAGUGUGGGCUCUCUGAGGCCUUUCUGCUACAAAUGUCAGCAUUUUCCAGAGAAACAGUGACAACAUGAGAUUCAAGACUCUGUGAGCUGGACAGCAGAUGGAGGCACACUGACAGCAGAUGGAGGACAUAACGCUGACAGUUAAGAGACACGUGAAUGGGUUGAUGGGGAAUGAUCUCUUUGUGAAGUCUGUUGUUGGCAACACAUUGUGGCGGAAGAAACAGCUCAGUGAUGGUCCCCACAGCUGCCAUUCUCCAGUCUUGAAGUUGGUGUAUGACCUUGCUGUGACUGACUUCCUAUGGGCUAACAAUGUGGAAAACAGCAAUGGUCAAGAAAUCCUCCCUGUCCUUUUGUGUUCCAGGCAGAGAGCCACCCUUCCCUAUGUGACUUGGAGAAGACUCAUGGAUGAGCUCCUCGAGAACCUAUGACAAAGCCAGACACAACCCCUCCUAGGGUCUGAAUGUUUAUGUCCUUCCAAAUUCAUAUGUUGAAAUCCUAACCCCCGAGGUGAUGGUAUCAGGAAGUGGGGCCUUGGGAGGUGGUUAGGUCAUAAGAUUGGAGUUCUUAUGUAUGGAAUUAGUGAUCUCAUAUUUUUAAAAAGGCCCCAGAGAGCUGCCGUGCUCCUUAAGCCAUGUGAGGAUACAGCAAGAAGGUG